GGGGGGGUUAAAUUUUUCUCAUUUCAGAUUUCAUAAAUAAAAAGAAAAUUUCUUCAAACAUUUUUUUGAGAGGAUUAAUAUUCAACAGUAUAGUGAAUUGCUUAAAGGCAAAAAAAAAUAUUUUAAGUUCAUUAGACCACAUUCAUUCUGUGUCAGAAACCUAUGCUGUGUCAACUAUUUAAUCACAAUCCAAAUUUAGAGCUGAAUCAAGCUUAAAUGUUGUGUCCAUACUUGCACCA
This 239-nucleotide long non-coding RNA is filed under the name Mytilus galloprovincialis (Mediterranean mussel). Lineage: Eukaryota; Metazoa; Mollusca; Bivalvia; Mytilida; Mytilidae. The record is from RNAcentral.